CCUACGGGAGGCAGCAGUCGAGAAUCAUUCACAAUGGGGGAAACCCUGAUGGUGCGACGCCGCGUGGGGGAAUGAAGGUCUUCGGAUUGUAAACCCCUGUCAUGUGGGAGCAAAUUAAAAAGAUAGUACCACACGAGGAAGAGACGGCUAACUCUGUGCCAGCAGCCGCGGUAAUACAGAGGUCUCAAGCGUUGUUCGGAAUCACUGGGCGUAAAGCGUGCGUAGGCUGUUUCGUAAGUCGUGUGUGAAAGGCGCGGGCUCAACCCGCGGACGGAACAUGAUACUGCGAGACUAGAGUAAUGGAGGGGGAACCGGAAUUCUCGGUGUAGCAGUGAAAUGCGUAGAUAUCGAGAGGAACACUCGUGGCGAAGGCGGGUUCCUGGACAUUAACUGACGCUGAGGCACGAAGGCCAGGGGAGCGAAAGGGAUUAGAUACCCCUGUAGUC
Molecule: ribosomal RNA, 446 nt
Filed under: uncultured bacterium
Lineage: Bacteria
Description: partial 16S ribosomal RNA
Rfam family: Bacterial small subunit ribosomal RNA
Source: RNAcentral